RNAcentral lists this ribosomal RNA (254 nucleotides) under uncultured bacterium. Its description in RNAcentral is "partial 16S ribosomal RNA". It matches the Rfam family "Bacterial small subunit ribosomal RNA", at positions 524 to 776 of the family's 1533-position model. The record is from RNAcentral.
UACGUAGGUGGCAAGCGUUGUCCGGAAUUAUUGGGCGUAAAGCGCGCGCAGGCGGCCUCUUAAGUCUGAUGUGAAAGCCCCCGGCUCAACCGGGGAGGGCCAUUGGAAACUGGUAGGCUUGAGUAUAGGGAGAGAAGAGUGGAACUCCACGUGUAGCGGUGAAAUGCGUAGAGAUGUGGAGGAACACCAGUGGCGAAGGCGACUCUUUGGCCUAUAACUGACGCUGAGGCGCGAAAGCGUGGGGAGCAAACAGG